RNAcentral lists this unclassified non-coding RNA (276 nucleotides) under Hevea brasiliensis (rubber tree). The record is from RNAcentral. Lineage: Eukaryota; Viridiplantae; Streptophyta; Magnoliopsida; Malpighiales; Euphorbiaceae.
GAAGCGUGUCUCUCUACCCAGGGGCUUGCUGGAAAAGCGAUACGUAACGCCUGCAAGUGUUCUAAUAGGUAUCCUCUUUUGCCGUCAAAUACAGUGAAAAAUGGUAUUAGAGCCCCUCAGUAGAUGUCUGGUUCGGGGAUGAGCUAGGCGGAAGCUAAUAGGCUUGUAACAUCCCGUGUGGCAAAGGGAAGGUCUUGGCUAGAGCGGUCCUCUAGGAAGGCAAGGCUCACUGGUAUCCUUGUCCAAAUGAGUGAAAACUAAUCACUAGAGACGUCU